UUUUCGUCAAUGGGCGCAAGCCUGAACGAGCGAUGCCGCGUGAGUGAAGAAGGCCUUCGGGUCGUAAAACCCUGUUGUUAGAGAAGAAAGUGCGUGAGAGUAACUGUUCACGUUUCGACGGUAUCUAACCAGAAAGCCACGGCUAACUCCGUGCCAGCAGCCGCGGUAAUACGUAGGUGGCAAGCGUUAUCCGGAUUUAUUGGGAGUAAAGGGAACGCAGGCGGUCUUUUAAGUCUGAUGUGAAAGCCUUCGGCUUAACCGGAGUAGUGCAUUGGAAACUGGGAGACUUGAGUGCAGAAGAGGAGAGUGGAACUCCAUGUGUAGCGGUGAAAUGCGUAGAUAUAUGGAAGAACACCAGUGGCGAAAGCGGCUCUCUGGUCUGUAACUGACGCUGAGGUUCGAAAGCGUGGGUAGCAAA
This 418-nucleotide ribosomal RNA is filed under the name uncultured bacterium. RNAcentral describes it as "bacterial SSU rRNA". It matches the Rfam family "Bacterial small subunit ribosomal RNA", at positions 362 to 772 of the family's 1533-position model. The record is from RNAcentral.